UACAUUUUUUUGCUUCAACCAAGAGCAGCUGAAUGCAUCAAUUUCAGCCAAGAGUUGCUAAAUAUGACAUCUUUAGCUAAGAGUAGCUGAAUAUGAUCAUUUGUUCUCCCAGGAGUGUCUACCUUCAGCCAAAAAGGUCUAAAGACCAGUCGAGCAUGUUUGUAACAGAUUCAUCCCUGGAGAUCUAUUGUCAGUUAAGAGCAACUCAACAUGAUUCUCUCAUCCCUAGUCAUUUGCAUAUCAUCUGAGAAAU
This 253-nucleotide long non-coding RNA is filed under the name Lathyrus oleraceus (garden pea). Its description in RNAcentral is "Pisum sativum (pea) long non-coding RNA (PSAT_LNC025246)". Lineage: Eukaryota; Viridiplantae; Streptophyta; Magnoliopsida; Fabales; Fabaceae. The record is from RNAcentral.